UGAACCUGAAGGAGGUGCAGUUAGGAAACGUUUGGGCCUUAGGCCCAAACAGAGCCAGACCUCAAACAAGCAAUCGAUUCAAAAGCUGAGUUCGGGUCCAAUACACAACCAAAUCCACGCACCAGAGCUUCAUCAGCAUUGUUUCACUUUUUCGCUUCAUCUUCAUCGCGCGUUCUCUACUUCAAACAAAAUUAGAAACGAAAAAAAUGAAGAAAAUUGGCUCUGAAAUCACGAUCAACACUAAAAUCGUAUCAAUCAUUCAUCAUUCACCUUUGCGCAUGCAGAAUCGAAAAGGAUCGAAUUGAAGCAAGAAAUCAUCGAAUCAGAGUAUCGACAUGAACAGGUGGGAUUCUUGUUGAAUUUUUGUUUGAAGAAGGUCAUGUUACCAGCCCUUUGUGAGAAGGUUUCGUUGCCAAUUGUCCAAUUCGAUUUGCAGAUGAUUGCUCUCUUUUAAGUUCCCUCAAUUUCUGUUAUACUGUUUGAGGCUUGUUAUUGAGAAAUCUUGUUAAAUCUGGUUUUUCCUCUGUUACAGGUUUUAUGGUUUUGUGGUUAGCAGUCGUUGUUGAAAACGGUUGGAGGUUUUGUUAUCAAGUUUAUUGAGAAUUGGUUAUAGGUUGGUUUGAGGGAGGUUGGAAGUUAGUUGCAAAUGAUUUGAGCAUUAGGACUAAGCAACUAUUAAAAAUGAUUUAGCAAUAGGGCUGCACUUAAUCGUUACUGAAAAGCUUCGAAUUAGUAGCAUAAUUGCAAGUUGUUUUGUUUUGUUUUAGCUUGAAAUUGAUGUUGCUGUUAUGGAUUUAAUAUACCCCUUAUUGUGAACUGUUAUGAUGCACAUGUUUUGAACUUACUGCUGCAACUAUGCUUGCUAUGCGGUUGCCUAACUCAUGGAAGUGACAAUUUGAUGUGAUGUUAUAUGUAUAUGAACAUGAGCUUGUAUGUUGCUAUGACAUGAUAUAGGAACAUGGAUGUAUUUACAUUUAUGUAAACUAAUAUACAUGGAUGUAUGUGCUGCUGAUUUUUGAAUGUUAUGCAGGUAUUAUCUGAAUGCCAUGGGACUAUUUGUCAUAUUAUAAUUUUUAACCCUAAGAUCCCACAUCUCAUUUGCAUGUUUUGCGUAAAAAUAAAGUCAUAUCUUGGCUCUUCCCUUAUCCAUAUUUAGAUUUGUAUUUUGCAGAGAUCAUCAAGCACCUCUUUGUUUUACCUUUGUGUUUAUAUGUUCAUUGCUUAUAUAACCACUAAUCAAAAUAUCAAAAAUAUGUCUUGUUUCCCUUAAGUUUAUUGUGCAAGGUAGGGCUCCUCAAAUCAAGAGCAUCUCAAAGUUUAGUUGCUUAGUUCUCAAGGAAAGUCAAAAGUUCAUGUGUUUAUUUUCAAGCCUUUUUCAAUAAGCAAAUUCAAGCUUUGAGCAAUUUAAUCAAGAGACAAUCAAGGACACCUUAUCUUGAGUUCAUAUCAUCACCCAUGUGCUUUGAAGUGCAAGGAAAUUCCAAGUACACAAGCUUGUUCCAAGUGGUUUGACCUAAAAAUCAACAUUUUGAUGUCAAAGUUCCAAAGAUCACAACUCAUUCAAUUCUCAAUAUUUUUGAAUUC
Lathyrus oleraceus (garden pea) is the source of this 1584-nucleotide long non-coding RNA. RefSeq lists it as uncharacterized. The transcript is spliced from 2 exons. NCBI's taxonomy places the organism in Eukaryota, Viridiplantae, Streptophyta, Magnoliopsida, Fabales, Fabaceae. The record is from RefSeq and is a predicted model, not a curated record.